UGUGGGUAGGGGUGAAAGGCCAAUCAAACUCCGUGAUAGCUGGUUCUCCCCGAAAUGCAUUUAGGUGCAGCGUCGCAUAUUAUGCUUGUUGGAGGUAGAGCUACUGGUUGGUUGAGCGGGACGAUAAUCUUAGCAACAUCAGCUAAACUCCGAAUGCCAGCAAUGUGGGUGCGGCAGUGAGACUGCGGGGGAUAAGCUCCGUUGGUCGAGAGGGAAACAGCCCAGAUCGUCGGUUAAGGCCCCUAAGGGUGUGCUCAGUGGGAAAGGAUGUGGGAUCGCGAAGACAGCCAGGAGGUUGGCUUAGAAGCAGCCAUCCUUGAAAGAGUGCGUAAUAGCUCACUGGUCGAGUGGUUCUGCGCCGAUAAUGUAGCGGGGCUUAAGUACACCGCCGAAACCGCGGCAACACGCGUAAGGUGUGUUGGGUAGGGGAGCGUCGUGCAUGUGUUGAAGCUAUUUGGUGACAGGUGGUGGAGUGUGUGCGAGUGAGAAUGCAGGCAUGAGUAACGAUUGAUGUGUGAGAAACAUAUCCGCCGGAUGACUAAGGGUUCCUGGGUGAAGUUUGUCUUCCCAGGGUGAGUCGGGGCCUAAGGCGAGGCCGACAGGCGUAGUCGAUGGAUGACGGGUUGAUAUUCCCGUACCCGUGUGCGUGCGACAAGUGAUGAAUCUUAUGGUACUAACCGCCCGCUUGUUUCCGCUAAUCUUUUUGGUUGGUGGUUUCAGGUGCGUGGGAUCUUCGUGGGUAGUAGUCAAGUGAUGGGGUGACGCAGAGUGGUAGCUAGGCUUCCUUAUUGGAUUGGAGUGCAAGCGUGUGGCCUGUGGGGUUGGGAAAUCCGCCCCACAUGAGGGUGAGGCGUGAUGCGGACACCAUUUGUGGUGGUAGUUAGUGUGCCUGUGCUGCCUAGAAAAGCCUCUAGCGAGUGCGUGCAUGGCCCGUACCGGAAACCGACACAGGUGGUCAGGUAGAGAAUACUAAGGCGUUCGGGUGAACUGUGGUUAAGGAACUCGGCAAAAUGCCCCCGUAACUUCGGGAGAAGGGGGACCAUUACUGGUUGCUGACAGCAUGAUGGCUGGUGGUGGUCGCAGAGGAGAGAGGGAAGCGACUGUUUAUUAAAAACACAGGUCCGUGCGAAAACGUGGAAGUUGAGGUAUACGGACUGACGCCUGCCCGGUGCUGGAAGGUUAAGAGGACCCGUGAGCACAUCUUUGUGGUGUGCGAGGCGGAGAAUUGAAGCCCCAGUAAACGGCGGUGGUAACUAUAACCAUCCUAAGGUAGCGAAAUUCCUUGUCGGGUAAGUUCCGACCUGCACGAAUGGCGUAACGACUUCCC
This 1327-nucleotide ribosomal RNA is filed under the name human metagenome. RNAcentral's name for it is "bacterial LSU rRNA". It matches the Rfam family "Bacterial large subunit ribosomal RNA", at positions 810 to 2013 of the family's 2925-position model. The record is from RNAcentral.